This 219-nucleotide long non-coding RNA is filed under the name Lathyrus oleraceus (garden pea). RNAcentral describes it as "Pisum sativum (pea) long non-coding RNA (PSAT_LNC011278)". Lineage: Eukaryota; Viridiplantae; Streptophyta; Magnoliopsida; Fabales; Fabaceae. The record is from RNAcentral.
AAAGGGAGGUCGGAUACCGGCCAAAAUAAGGUGGAGUAUGUGUUUGGCUUUUUAGGGUUAGGGUUGGAGAGUCGCCGGAGAAGAGGGCGGCGCCGCCGCGGUUGGCCGGCCGCCACUGUCUUCUCCGGUCAAUUUGGCCGUGAGAGGGAUGACGGAGGAGAAGAGGAAGUUGUAGAGCAACUUCAUUCUCAGAAUGAAGAGAGAGAACGAGAGGAGCAA